Mastomys coucha (southern multimammate mouse) is the source of this 488-nucleotide long non-coding RNA. RefSeq lists it as uncharacterized. The record is from RefSeq and is a predicted model, not a curated record. The transcript has 2 exons. Lineage: Eukaryota; Metazoa; Chordata; Mammalia; Rodentia; Muridae.
GCCAAGGUGUGUAUGCCACUACUGCACCCAUAGGGUAAUCAUGCCACACUGGUCAUAGUUGCACUUGAUCAUUUUGCAAGAGAAAAGAUGGUAAGAGCCAAAGGAAGAGAGAGCUGCGCGUGAGACUCCUAAAAUUGUCUGAGAAGUAUACCUCUGCCGCCUCCUCAGCGUACCUCUGCCGCCUCCUCAGCGUACCUCUGCCGCCUCCUCAGCGUACCUCUGCCGCCUCCUCAGCGUACCUCUGCUGCCUCCUCAGCGUACCUCUGCCGCCUCAGCGUGGCUGCCUAGGCAAGACUACACAAGGAGGACACCGUAAACAUAACACUGUCAAGUGAGGAAGCACACCAUGCGGCAACCUUGACAAAGAACUACAAACAGCUAAGAAAUGCUGAGACCAGGAGAGGAUCUUCCCAGGGACAACCACAUCAAGUCAUUAUCAAAUAUCAAAUGCUUAGUCCUGAAAUAUAUAUGUAUAUAUAUAAGUAGUA